This 614-nucleotide small RNA is filed under the name Pinguicula sehuensis. RNAcentral describes it as "eukaryotic LSU rRNA". The stretch from base 246 to 401 matches the Rfam family "5.8S ribosomal RNA". The record is from RNAcentral. Lineage: Eukaryota; Viridiplantae; Streptophyta; Magnoliopsida; Lamiales; Lentibulariaceae.
CGCCAUGAGCAGACUGCGCACACGUUAAUGCCUCAUGGGGCGCCCAACGGGCAGCCCAGCGCCUCCCGUAGGCGCCCCGCCCUGCCGUGCCCUCGCGCGAGCGAGCACGCCCGGCGGGUAAAACAAACCCACGGCGCGGAAGGUGCCAAGGAUCACAACGUCGGAGCGCCUUCCCCAUCAUGGCCCCGUCCGCGGCAAGCUGUGCGGGUGAUGCGCGUUUCCCAAAAUUGAAUGACAUGAAAAAUGACUCUCGGCAACGGAUAUCUCGGCUCUUGCAUCGAUGAAGAACGUAGCAAAAUGCGAUACUUGGUGUGAAUUGCAGAAUCCCGUGAACCAUCGAAUCUUUGAACGCAAGUUGCGCCCGAAGCCAUUCGGCCGAGGGCACGCCUGCCUGGGCGUCACGCAUCGUGCCGCACCAUUGCCCCCCUCCCCGCUCUGGGACGGGGGACACGGUGCGGAUACUGGCCUCCCGUGCGCCCCGGCGUGCGGAUGGCCCAAAUGAGAUCCUCCGGUGAUGCACGCCACGACGAUUGGUGGUUGAUUGCUCGACUCACGUGCCGUCGUGGCCCGCAGCAUCUCCGGCCAGGGCAUCCGGAAGGACCCAACGGCGUGCG